RNAcentral lists this small RNA (127 nucleotides) under Marmota monax (woodchuck). The record is from RNAcentral. Lineage: Eukaryota; Metazoa; Chordata; Mammalia; Rodentia; Sciuridae.
GCCAGGCACGGUGGCCCAUGCCUGUAAUCCUAGCAGCUCAGGAGGCUGAGGCAGGAGAAUCUCAAGUUCAAAGCCAGCCUCAGCAACUUAGCAAGGCCCUAAGUCACUCAGCAAGCCCCUGUCUCUA